GGACUACCAGGGUUUCUAAUCCUGUUUGCUCCCCUUGCUCUCGCGCCUCAGCGUCAGGUAAUAGCUAGAAAACCGCUUUCGCCACAGGUGUUCUUCCACAUAUCUACGCAUUUCACCGCUACACGUGGAAUUCCAUUUUCUCCGCCAUCCCUCUAGUCGUACAGUUUCAAAUGCAGCUCCGAAGUUGAGCUCCGGAAUUUCACAUCUGACUUAUACAUCCGCCUACGCGCCCUUUACGCCCAAUAAUUCCGAUUAAUGCUUGCACCCUCCGUAUUACCGCGGCUGCUGGCAC
This 292-nucleotide ribosomal RNA is filed under the name uncultured bacterium. RNAcentral describes it as "partial 16S ribosomal RNA". The record is from RNAcentral.